Grammomys surdaster is the source of this 349-nucleotide long non-coding RNA. RefSeq lists it as uncharacterized. Lineage: Eukaryota; Metazoa; Chordata; Mammalia; Rodentia; Muridae. The record is from RefSeq and is a predicted model, not a curated record. The transcript is spliced from 2 exons.
AUCUAAGCCGCGUGGCAAGAUGAUACCGGGUUCUGCCCAGCCGGAGCCACAACUCUUUCCCUGCGGACAGUUUUGUGAGCGAAGUGUUUUUAAAAACACUACAGUUAGUGCUCCAUGGCUGUGGUCCCAAGCACUUGGGAGGGAGAAACAAGAGUCUUGUGAGUUCCAGGCCAGCCUGAGCUACAUGAUAAAAUCUUCAAAAUACCCAAGAAUUACAACAAGGGUCCCCAGGUAUACCUAGGUAUAAAAUAGUUGACAUUUUUGGAUCGCCUUUCAGCGACCAAAAAACGUUCUUUUUUUGCUUAAUAAGUCCUUUCUGUUUUGUUUAAAUAAAAGAAAAAUUCCAUGA